AUUACUUGGUGCUUUAAAUUUGAGUUUGUAAUGUUUGAUCAUUCGUCUUAUUUAAAAUUUUUUUUGGAAUUAUUGUUUAUUUUGUUUGUGCCUUGCUUUAUUAUCAAAAGUACCGUAAGUAUGACUUAUACUUUUUUAUAUUUGCACCAAUUUUUCAAAUAAAACGAAUGGUCAAACGUUGUAAGCAAAAAGUCAAAGCGACAUUUAUU
This is a microRNA precursor of Oryza rufipogon (brownbeard rice), 209 nucleotides long. It matches the Rfam family "MIR812 microRNA precursor family". The record is from Rfam. NCBI's taxonomy places the organism in Eukaryota, Viridiplantae, Streptophyta, Magnoliopsida, Poales, Poaceae.